Molecule: ribosomal RNA, 253 nt
Filed under: uncultured bacterium
Lineage: Bacteria
Description: partial 16S ribosomal RNA
Rfam family: Bacterial small subunit ribosomal RNA
Source: RNAcentral
GACGGAGGAUGCAAGCGUUAUCCGGAAUUAUUGGGCGUAAAGCGCACGCAGGCGGAUCAUUAAGUCAGGGGUGAAAUCCCGGGGCUCAACCUCGGAAUUGCCUUUGAUACUGUCUAUCUUGAGUCCGGGAGAGGUGAGUGGAAUUCCUAGUGUAGAGGUGAAAUUCGUAGAUAUUAGGAAGAACACCAGUGGCGAAGGCGGCUUACUGGUCCAUUACUGACGCUGAGGUGCGAAAGCGUGGGGAGCAAACAGG